CAGAGCACUGUGGGUCUGGGCCAUCUCCUGGGCUGACCCGGGAAGCUCUGGCCACCCGGAGCCUGUCUCGGCAUUUGUACGGGGGAUAAAGAGACGCUUCCUCCAAGGCUGUUUUCUGAAUUCAGCAGUGCUCAGGGCAACUGCGAUGGAGUCAGCAGCUACACCAGUGCCGGGCUGCUGCCUGGGUGGAGGGUGGAGAGGAAAUGUGAGUCACACAGGACCCCAGAGCCGCCCAGCCAAGCCCUGGCCACGCCAGCCCGGGAGGCCCGAGGUCCCCACGCAAAUUACCCACCAGAUGAACCCACUCGAUAGAGCCUGGCAUCCCUCUCUCCUCUAGGAAAAAAAUUACAGGAAACUAAAAAGUACACUCAGUUGCGCUUGAAGCCAUCUGAGUUUCAUGAAGCAGCAAGUCCUCCAGGCCCUGGAAAGCUCAGGAGCUGGGAAGAAAGAGGUGUUUUCACUCCAGCACAGGUGCUGAUGCCACGGGAUUCCCAGAAGCCCCCAGCCCAGAUGCACCACUCAGAAGCCCCUCCACCCCCACUUCAUAAAAAUCCAAAUCACUCUGUGUGUAACUAAGUCUUCUGGUUGUUUGGCACCUUUUGAAAAUGACUUUUGAACUUUUCUUAUGACAAAGUCCAUCUUUGGGGUGAGGCCCCGUCCACACCCCACAAAAGGCUGUGGUCCUCUGAAGCUCCCGGGUGCAACAGGCUAUAGUUUGCUCUCCGCCCAGCCCGGGAAGCUCAGAGUCACAACUUCAGCUUCCCUAGGAACUUCCCUGAUGCUGUGGAGGCCUUUGGCACUGGCAAGGGGAGGGAGAUUCAGUGACUGUGCUGAGCAGGAGGGACACUGAGGCGCACACGGGGCCAGGAUGUCGCGUUUAAUGACACCCCGAGGGGACGCCAUUUUUGCAGCCGAGGCCAACACAGCCUGCUCCUCUCUUUAUGUCCCAAGAAGCGAGAGGGACUCCAGCCGUCUCCCCCGCGGCCUCCUCCAGGUGGCUGCCCCGCAGCGGUGAGUCCAUGAAAAGCAAAUGGAACGACGGCAUGGAGGCGUCUUUUCCCACCCGUGCCUCGUGAGCCUGUGGGGAACCAUCCUUGCCGGAGCGGCCCCAAGGGGAGCCACGUCUGCGUGGCCAGCCAGGCCCAGCUCAGCAGCUGCCAUGGAGCAGCCUCCACCGCACACCUGGGAGCACCCGCACCCUGCAAUUCCUGCGCAGGUGGGAGCAGAUACGCUUAGACUUCCCCUAAAAGUGCGGGGAACCGACAAACAUCCCUGCCUUCCUCAAAGACCCCGGCUGAGCCAGCGCCUGUGGCCUUCCCUCUUGGAGGUGGGGCCUCUCCCCGUGGUCUCCGACGUCUGUGGCCGUUUCAGGUCGACCAGGGUGAGGGUGAGGGCAGGCUUUCUGUUUCUGCUUAAGGAUCAUAAAGUAAUUGUCUUUCAAAGGCAAUAGUAUUCACGGCCAGAAAUGUCUAUCUAGCAAUUGCUUCCAGAACAAGACAAAGCGCCGAGGCUGUUGAAAGAUGGAAAUAACCUCGCAUCUCAGUAAAGGAGACGCAGGGCCGUGUCCCGCCGGCAAGAGCAUCGCCAUGGCGGCUCCCAGCUCCGUGGAGGCCCAGGCGGGCAGGGCCGGCCCCCGUGCUGUUCAAAACUCAGCCCCUGGCAGGAAGGAAAGCAGCCGGUCCUGAAAGGGCCUUUGUGUUCAGCCUUAUCAGAGCUCCGAGUCCUUAGUAGGAAACUGCCCGAGUGCAAGAGUAAAAAUAUUCCAGAUCAUUAGGGAAUUCCCUGCAGUCUGAGUCAUCGGGAGGCUUCCCUGCCACACCCGCGAGGUUUCCACACAGGCAGGCCUGCGGGCCCAGGAGCCUCCCAGACUGGCCAGGACCCGCCGCCCGGAGCCGGGCCACCCCCACGCCGGCGCUGAUGCUGAGCCACUGUUUCCACAAAGAAAGCCACGAGGGCCGCUGGUGGAAGCAGCAGCGUCCCUGGGUCCCACGGUGCCCUCGAGCCCUGCUCCCCACGGCGUCUCCUGCCCUGCUCCCCACAGCAUCCUCGUGCCGUGCACCCCACAGAAUCCUCAUGCCCAGAAGCGAGCAUCCCUGGGGCGUCCGUCAUCCAUCCCCGGCUCUCCCCCAGGAGUCUGUCCCAGCCUGGCUCCCAGAGGAGAUUCUGGAGGGGAAACAGCCACCCAGCCGCGCUGCACAUCUGCCUGCAGGGCCUCACACGGAGCCACCCUGUGACCCACAGCCCUUUCACACCGAGGCAUGCGCUCAGGAGACAGGCAGGCGUCCACACAGGACUCACGCACUGAGGUUCAUGGCGGCUUUUCCACGAUCAUCUCCACGGGGUGGACGUGGCCCAGUGCCAUCGACAGACAAGUGUGGGCAGCCACACGGUGGGCUUCCCUCAGCCACAGAAAGACCCCACGUCCCGACCUGUGCCAAGGAGGGGACCUGAGGACCCUACGCCCUGACCCACACCAACGAGGGAACAUGGAGGAUGCCACGCUCCACAGAAGCUGCCAGGCACCGCAGCCGGCAGGAUGGGGUUCCCCAGCAGGCCAGCAGGGAGCAGCCAGACCAGGCGAGGCCACGGCGAGGGGGCAUCGGGGUUGUCGGAGCCGGGGUGGGGGAAGGGAGAGCAGGGGUGGCUGCUCAUGGGCAAGGGUUUCUUUCUGGGGACAAGAAAAUGUUCUGAAAUUGGUGGUGGCCGCAUAAUUCUGUGAAGCCACCAAAACCCACCGAAUUAUACACUUUGAGUGAAUUAAAUGGUGUAUAGAUCAUAUCUCGAUAAAGCUGAUAUAAAAAAGAAACUAGCCAACAUGA
Pan troglodytes (chimpanzee) is the source of this 2819-nucleotide long non-coding RNA. RefSeq lists it as uncharacterized. The transcript is spliced from 2 exons. Lineage: Eukaryota; Metazoa; Chordata; Mammalia; Primates; Hominidae. The record is from RefSeq and is a predicted model, not a curated record.